RNAcentral lists this unclassified non-coding RNA (268 nucleotides) under Glomeraceae sp. RNAcentral's name for it is "partial contains 5.8S ribosomal RNA and internal transcribed spacer 2". The stretch from base 1 to 71 matches the Rfam family "5.8S ribosomal RNA", at positions 84 to 154 of the family's 154-position model. Lineage: Eukaryota; Fungi; Glomeromycota; Glomeromycetes; Glomerales; Glomeraceae. The record is from RNAcentral.
GUGAAUCAUCGAAUUUUUGAACGCAAAUUGCACUCUCUGGUAUUCCGGAGAGUAUGCCUGUUUGAGGGUCAAUUUAAAUAAAAAUCGGUGUAGUUGCUGCCUUUCGUGGUUACUCACCGGAUUUGAGUCGUCUUGCCUUCGUCUACGUGACCUAAAAUUUUGCAUGAUUUUUUCGAUCGUAUUUAAAUGAUUUUACGUACGUUUUCGAUAGCUAAUACUAGUAGUGGUCAUCCUCAUGAUUCACGCUUAUAAUUCUUCAUCAAAAUUA